Molecule: long non-coding RNA, 2130 nt
Organism: Trachemys scripta elegans
Lineage: Eukaryota; Metazoa; Chordata; Testudines; Emydidae
Exons: 4
Source: RefSeq, a predicted model, not a curated record
AGGGCCGGCUCCAGGCACCAGGCAACCAAGCACAUGCUUGGGGCGGCACCUGGUUUCAUAACAUUGGAAGUUCAGCUAAGCAGCCAGAGUCCAUGGAGGCCACCAUCUCUCCUCAAAAAAACUUAUAUAUCUUCACCAGAAAUUAAAAGGAGGCCCUGUGGCCUGCAAAUCAAGCAUCCUGUCACCCAGUUCUUCAGAGAAUCAUAGCAGGUGUCAUGGUCAUUGCUUUAGGUGAUGUAAAACGAAGAGUUACAACCAGUUUUCUCAUUAGGAGGACAAGAAAUAAGGUGAUAAAAGGGCUGUUUCUGAAGGUCCAGCAGCAGCACUGUGCUAUCCAGGAAACCUCCAGAGCUACAGAUCCCUGGGCCUGGUGGGCUGCUGGGCAUGAGUGAGAUAGCAGCUCUGAAAAGGGCUGGAAUUGAAGGGGAGAAGAGGAGAAUGCCUUAUGAACAGACAGGAGGACAAAGGGAGUUUGUUCUUUUAAGGGCUUGAUCCUGUGGUGCUGAGUGCUGAAGCUGAGAUAACUCAGCACCACACAAGAUUCACUCAGCACCUUGCAAAAUUGGGCCCUACACACUUACCUCUGAUUAUUGGGGUAAUGCUUUCUUUUCCUAGGGAAAGGUAAAACCUACCCCAUGAAGCAGGAAUUAUUAUUAAUAAUAAACGAUAACAUAUAGCACAUGUCCUUCCAAAGGAAACCACAGUCAUUGCUUUACAACCUGGACAGGGAUAAUCAAACAAGCCACUGAACUGCAGCCACCUCUGGGGUGGAAACAUAGCAACCAUUCAACACUUACAACACUACAAAACAGUCAGACCCUCUGUCCCUGUGCUGGCAACUACACCGGUACAGGAAUGAAUCUGUCCCUAGGCAUGUGGGGGAUUGAAAGGGGAGAUGGUAAGGGUCAAAUCCUAUAAAUGCAGUGUAGGCAGAAAACUUUCUUCUACUGAGUUUAAUAGUAAAACUCCCAUUGAUUUCACCAGGAACAGUAUUUGGCCCUUUAACUUGUCAUAUGGUCUUUAUAAAAAACCCCAGACAAAACCCUAGCCCUCCUGUUGCCUUUGCCUUGGAUCUGAUAUUUCAUUUAUGCGGAGGUGAAGCCAAAAGGAGAGUCAGAUGGCAGCAUGUGGGGUAGGGACGCCGCAGGCUGCAAGUGCUGUCAGUGGCCAUGAAUAAAAAAGGCAGCCUGAAGCCUACAGAGAACAGAGGAGUACUGUUACACGGCACUGCCAGUACUCCAGACAUGAGCUGAACGCUACUUGCGUGGUUAGUUGCUAACUACUUUAAAAAGCUGUUGCAUUCUCAUGAUAGCCAUAGGAAGCUUUGAUGGUGUGACACUUUGGCUGUCUGUAGUUGGCUGAGUAUGAAAGGUCCGACUGGGACUUAUCCAGGACAUGGGGCGUUCCAUAUGCCUGACAGAUUGUCUCAUGCCAGUUUUUUUUAAAGCAAGUUCAGUCAGAAUGACCUGGAAUGAUACAGACAUUUUCACUAACAGGUUGUGAGAAACAGGAAGGUCCAGGGGCUUGAGCAGAGCUUGCGGGGGGGACAUGAGUUCAAUUCCUGCUACAAAUACCCUGUGUGACCCCGAGCUAGUCACUCCAUUGCUCUGUGCCUCAGUUCCCCUUCUGCCCAAUGGGACAAUGGUUAACCUAUCUCACAGGAGUGGUGUGAGGAUAAAUACAUUAGAAAUUGUGAAGUACUUAGAUGAUGCAGUGAUGGCGGCUGUAUAAAUACUUAAGACAGAUAAAAUUUAAGGCCCUGAUCCUACAUAUACUUAUGUACCUGUUACAUGCUGUGGGCUUGAUCCUGCUCCAAUUGAAGUCAGGAGCAGAACUCACUUUGAUGUCAAUAGUGCCCUAGUCCAGCAGUUCUGAAACUUCAUUGCAUCACGACCCCCUUCUGACAAUAAUUUACUACAUGACCCUGGGGGUGGGGGAGGAGCCCCAUUUCCCUACUGUGUGGAUGAAAGGAGGCUAGAGGCCUGCCACCCCAGGUGGGGGUGGAGCUCGGGCUUCAGCUUCAACCCUGGGUCCCAGCAUGUCUAGUGCUGGCCCUGGCAACCCCAUUAAAAUGGGGUUGCGGCCCACUUUGGAAUCCUGACCCACGGUUUGAGAACAGCUGCCCUUGUC